Molecule: ribosomal RNA, 460 nt
Filed under: uncultured bacterium
Lineage: Bacteria
Description: partial 16S ribosomal RNA
Rfam family: Bacterial small subunit ribosomal RNA
Source: RNAcentral
CCUACGGGUGGCAGCAGUGAGGAAUAUUGGUCAAUGGACGAGAGUCUGAACCAGCCACGUAGCGUGAAGGAUGACUGCCCUCUGGGUUGUAACCUUCUUUUAUAUGGGAAUAAAAUGUUCCACGUGUGGGGUUUUGUAUGUACCAUAUGAAUAAGGAUAGGCUAACUCCGUGCCAGCAGCCGAGGUAAUACGGAGGGUCCGAUCGUUAUCCGGAUUGAUUGGGUUUAAAGGGAGCGUAGGUGGAUUGUUAAGUCAGUUGUGAAAGUUUGCGGCUCAACCGUAAAAUUGCAGUUGAAACUGGCAGUCUUGAGUACAGUAGAGGUGAGCGGAAUUCGUGGUGUAGCGGUGAAAUGCGUAGAUAUCACGAAGAACACCGAUUGCGAAGGCAGCUCACUGGACUGCAACUGACACUGAGGCUCGAAAGUGUGGGUAUCAAACAGGAUUAGAUACCCCUGUAGUC